RNAcentral lists this ribosomal RNA (577 nucleotides) under Lactobacillus sp. RNAcentral's name for it is "bacterial SSU rRNA". It matches the Rfam family "Bacterial small subunit ribosomal RNA", at positions 352 to 921 of the family's 1533-position model. Lineage: Bacteria; Bacillati; Bacillota; Bacilli; Lactobacillales; Lactobacillaceae. The record is from RNAcentral.
CAGUAGGGAUCUUCCACAAUGGACGAAAGUCUGAUGGAGCAACGCCGCGUGAGUGAAGAAGGUUUUCGGAUCGUAAAACUCUGUUGUUGGAGAAGAAUGUAUCUGAUAGUAACUGAUCAGGUAGUGACGGUAUCCAACCAGAAAGCCACGGCUAACUACGUGCCAGCAGCCGCGGUAAUACGUAGGUGGCAAGCGUUGUCCGGAUUUAUUGGGCGUAAAGCGAGCGCAGGCGGUUUCUUAAGUCUGAUGUGAAAGCCUUCGGCUCAACCGAAGAAGUGCAUCGGAAACUGGGAAACUUGAGUGCAGAAGAGGACAGUGGAACUCCAUGUGUAGCGGUGAAAUGCGUAGAUAUAUGGAAGAACACCAGUGGCGAAGGCGGCUGUCUGGUCUGUAACUGACGCUGAGGCUCGAAAGCAUGGGUAGCAAACAGGAUUAGAUACCCUGGUAGUCCAUGCCGUAAACGAUGAGUGCUAGGUGUUGGAGGGUUUCCGCCCUUCAGUGCCGCAGCUAACGCAUUAAGCACUCCGCCUGGGGAGUACGACCGCAAGGUUGAAACUCAAAGGAAUUGACGGGGCCC